RNAcentral lists this ribosomal RNA (466 nucleotides) under uncultured bacterium. RNAcentral's name for it is "bacterial SSU rRNA". It matches the Rfam family "Bacterial small subunit ribosomal RNA", at positions 194 to 677 of the family's 1533-position model. The record is from RNAcentral.
UUCGAGUGAAAUGGAUUUCCGCCUAAAGAGAAGCUUGCGGCUGAUUAGCUUGUUGGUGAGGUAAUGGCUCACCAAGGCGACGAUCAGUAUCUGGUUUGAGAGGACGAUCAGACACACUGGAACUGAGACACGGUCCAGACUCCUACGGGAGGCAGCAGUGGGGAAUUUUCCGCAAUGGGCGAAAGCCUGACGGAGCAAUACCGCGUGAGGGAUGACGGCCUAUGGGUUGUAAACCUCUUUUUUCAGGGAGGAAUCAAUGACGUGUACCUGAAGAAUAAGCAUCGGCUAACUCCGUGCCAGCAGCCGCGGUAAGACGGAGGAUGCAAGUGUUAUCCGGAAUCACUGGGCGUAAAGCGUCUGUAGGUGGUUUAAUAAGUCAACUGUUAAAUCUUGAGGCUCAACCUCAAAAUCGCAGUCGAAACUAUUAGACUAGAGUAUAGUAGGGGUAAAGGGAAUUUCCAGUGGA